This is a non-coding RNA of Phrynosoma platyrhinos (Desert horned lizard), 72 nucleotides long. The record is from the annotation of a GenBank genome assembly. NCBI's taxonomy places the organism in Eukaryota, Metazoa, Chordata, Lepidosauria, Squamata, Phrynosomatidae.
AGUAAUGUGGCAUAAUGGUUUGAGUGUUGGACUAGAACUCUAGAGACCAAGGUUCAAUUCCCACCUUGGCCA